GGUGUGCACGGCCGGCUUUGGUUGGAUGGAGGAGCGCUGAUCCCCCACUUUUUCGGCCCAGAGGCCUCAGGCUCUUACCGCAGCCCAGACACCAAACCCGAGCGCUUCCACCGCUCAGCUCUGGAGACGCUUUUUGUUCUCACAGAGUGAGGCGGGGCGGCCGGAGGCCCGGGACACUAUUCUGUAUCCUGCCCUGCAAGCAGCAAGCAGAGCAAAUUAGCAGUAGUGCUAGGGUGGGAAUUCUUCAGCUCCUUCACUUUUAGGCCUUCUAAGCUCCAAGGCAUGUUUACCGUCCAUGGAGUCACCGGAAGAUCGCUCUCCAGUCAAAUAAGUUGUGCCAUUAAACAGACAAAUCAUUUCAUCUUCUGCCUGCCAUUUUGAGCUUGAGCCUGCAUAAAGAACAGCCACUGGGUCAAGAGCAUAGGGAACCCCACUGAGGACUGGCAACUGACACCUAAAAUAAGGGCAUCCUGGGAGCUGAGCCUGCAAUCUGUGAAUAUUUAAGUCCGAGAGUAUAUUCAAGCAGUUUGUGCCAGAAUUGGAUUGAAUCAAUAGACUUCCAGCUGGUGAAGACUUCGGAAUUGCUGUGUUGCUUUAAAUGGGGAGAAUUCUUAUUGAUGGUGAUGUGAAAGCAGAAGGAAAACAGGUUUUUCCCCCUCGACCAACAAAAAUAAAGCAGAAUAAAGGUCCAGUGUGGGAGACAGAAUGUGCGUUUUGAAGAAGCCCAAGAUGGACAUGCUGGGAAAGACUCAUCCUUAAAACCCCUGGAAAGGAGAGUGGCUGUGGAGCCUCCCUAUCUUCUGUUGAUUCCAGAGUGCUGCCUUUGGUGUCUGUGGGAGUCAGAAGUGUAUCUGACCCUUUUAUUGCAUCCUGUUUGGAAGCUCUGGUGUUGGAGUCAAGAUGGCAGCAACUGUCAUUCCUUUGAUAUAUGUUCAGUCUUCUCUGUACUCACUGUCUCCUGAGAAAGGACACGCAGGGAAAGAAGGGCUGGCCAGUGAAUUCUUGACAGACUUGAUACAGGAGUUGGUGUCAUUCGAAGAUGUGACUGUGCAGUUCACAGAGGAGGAGUGGGCUUUGCUGGACCCUUUACAAAGAACUCUGUACCAGAAGGUAAUGCUGGAAAACUGGAAGAACCUGGCCUCACUUGGGUGGUGCCUUGAUAAACCAAAUCUGAUAUCCCAGUUGGAGCAAGAAGAGGUUAUAAGAGAGGCCAUAGGAAGUGUUCCAGACGUCUGUCCAGAUUUGGAGGCUGUGCUGAAAGUCAAAUGGCUGGCUCCUGAGAAGCGCACAUUUGGAAAACAGCAUGUGAAUGGCCAAAGAACAGUGAAGCUGGAGGAAAAAGAUCGUCAUGGAAUGAAAAUAAAUGAAUGCAAUCAAUGUUUUAAAGUCUUCAGCACAAAAUCUAACCUUACUCAACACAAGAGAAUUCAUACUGGAGAAAAACCCUAUGACUGUAGUCAGUGUGGAAAGUCCUUUCGCAGUAAAUCUUAUCUUACUGUGCACAGAAGAAUCCAUAAUGGGGAGAAACCAUUUGAAUGCAAUUACUGUGGGAAAGCAUUUAGUGAUCCCUCAUCCCUCAGACUUCACAUAAGAAUUCACACUGGGGAAAAGCCCUAUGAAUGUAACCAGUGUUUUCAUGUCUUCCGUACCAGUUGUAACCUCAAAAGCCACAAGAGAAUCCACACAGGAGGUGAGAAUCACCAUGAAUGUACUCAAUGUGGAAAGGCCUUCAGUACAAGGUCCUCUCUCACUGGGCAUAAUAGCAUCCAUACUGGAGAAAAACCCUUCGAGUGCCAUGAUUGUGGGAAAACCUUCAGGAAAAGCUCCUAUCUGACCCAGCACUUGAGAACUCACACUGGAGAGAAGCCCUAUGAGUGUAAUGAGUGUGGGAAGUGCUUCAGCAGUAGCUUUUCUCUCACUGUACACAAGAGAAUCCACACUGGAGAGAAGCCAUAUGAGUGUAGUCACUGUGGAAAAGCUUUUAAUAACCUCUCGGCUGUAAAGAAGCACUUAAUGACUCAUACUGGGCAAAAGCCCUAUGGGUGCAACCAUUGUGGAAAAUCUUUCACCAGUAACUCCUACCUCUCUGUGCACAAAAGAGUGCACAACAGGUGGAUAUGAAUUGUGGUGAGAAAUUACUGAGAGAAAACUUCGUUGGUCCUAAUAUAACUUGAGAGAAUUUACAUCAGGAGUACAAAUUAUCUAUUGCUGUGUAAUAUAUGCUCACCUCAAUUUUUGUGGCUUUAAACAAAUACCUCAUAUUUUAUAGGUCAGGAAUAUAAGGGAACCUUAGUUGUGUAGUUCUUCCUCAGGACUUCUCAUGAGCUUACAUUCAACAAAUGAAUCUUUUGUUGAAAGAUUCAUCUUCUAAAGUUGUUACCGAAGGAGCGACUUCUAGGAUGGCUCAUCACAUGCCUGGGAAUUUACUGCUGGUUAUUAACAGGAGACCUUCACCAACUCACCAUAUUGGUGUCUCCCCAUGAUUAUGCUUCUUUAUAAUAUGGCAAAAGAAGAACCUCUCCCCAAGUGUUCCAAGAGAAGCCAAUUAACAAAUGAAGUAUCACUUAAGACCUCACAUCCAAAAGCUAUAGUUUCACACCUUCCCUAUUGCACUCGUCAGACACAGACCAGCCUUGGUAAAACGUGGGAGAAAACUGCAUAAUAUCUGCAGGUCUGGAGACAGCUCUCUGAGAACCAUCUAAGAACCUUGCCAUGAAAUUAAUGAAGUCUUCAAUAGAUGUUGAUCCUUUUAAUCUGUAGGAGGUGACAUUGAAUAGAUUGUUAAAUCUCUGUGCAGAGACAGCCGUGUGAUAAUACUUUUUAGCUCACUUCUUGUACUGUGCCCCAAAGAUGCUGUGUUGGAAAGAACCUGGUGGGUAGAAUAUUGGUCAUGUGGUAAUGGUCUUUAGUGAUGUCAGUCUUUUCAGUCUUUCUUGUGGGAAAUCAUACAUCUGAAAAACAAAAGAAAUUCGGAAAACUGUACAGCAAAGUGUUCACAUUACUUGCCACAGAUAAUGAGGUGUUCUGUCUGCUGUGAUGAUGGGAACCCUUCAGCUGUUUUUCUUUCUGAAAGAGGUAUGAGAAUGCUUUCUGAGAAGCCCCCUUGAGUAUCAUAACCAUUGGCAAGCCUUUGAGGAUUCCUGUGACAUAGGAAGAAUUUGGCAAUGAUUCUUUAAGCUCAUACAUUAGAGGGCCACCUUAGAAAAGUGACCUAACACAUGUAAGGAUGCUUAAGCAUCAGCUUUGGCUGAGCAAUUGUGUAAUAAUAUACUGUAAAUGAAAUGGAUGAGUAGGUAGUGUCUGUAGGUUCAGUUGUUAUGCCCAGAUUACGACCCCCAGUGAGACCACCAAAAACUAGAGAAGUCCGGACUGCAAAAGCAAGGUUUAUUGUUAGCUUGAUAUGGGCUAGCUUGGAGCUCGUCUCCACACUCAAUGCAGAGAGGCAGGGAGGAGCUAGAGUCCCUCUGUGGGGUUAGCUUUUUAAAGGCAAAAACCACAAGCCCUUCAGAGUGGUCAGGGGGCUUUAACACAGGUGCAAAGUCUUUGCUCUUCCCCAUCCUGUUUGGUCAGCUUGUUUUAUCUUUAGAGCGAGGUCACGCUGUCCCAGAGUUAGGACAUCAGUCUCCACCAGAUGGCCAGGUGUGCUUGUGGUUUGGCAUUUCCCUAGUGUGUGUGUGUUGUGGGGGGCACUAUCAUUUCUAGAAACAUGAAGCUAGUCUGGGGUUUUUGAUUUUAAAACACUCUGCUAGGAAAUAUCUUCUCGUUCCUUUGAGAAUAAGGGAUGCGGGUCUUACAUAGUUACCAGCUUAUUAAUUUUAAAUCUUUGUUUUAUAAACAUGUAUGCUUAUGUAUAACCCCACCCCAAACACAGCCCUUCAAAUUUCAGUGCAGUGUAUUUAUAGCUUAUCUUCUGAAGGGCAGAGUGUGGUAGUACACAUUAGUAAUCCUAGCAGUUGGGAGGCUGGCAAGGUGGAUUGUGAAUUUGAUGCAAGCUGGAACUGUCUGACAGAGUACUUUUGUCAGAGGAUAGGACUUUCUGAUAUUGAUCAUUUUUCUUCUUUCUACCUAGUGUCCAUUUUGUCCUGCUUAGGGCCAACAGGAUGACUCAGUGGGUGAAGGUACUCACCAGCAAAUCUGAUCACCUGAGUUCAGUCCCCAGAACCCAGACAGUGAAAGUGGCUGUGAGGUCUGGAGGGAGGAGAACUGUUUGGCUUCCAUCAUGAUGACGUAAGCAGUGGAACAGGAACAAUGAUUCAUUUCCUUUAAAACCUCUGACUGAGUGCAUUAGUUCUACAUUUUUUUUUUAAAUUCAUGUUUUGUUUAAAAGUAACUCCUUUACUGGUAGAAGCCAACAUGAUUUGCUGUUUGUUUUUGAGGUGAUGUUAAGUUCCAGCUCAAUGCCGUAUCUAACUGGUAAACAGAUUUGUCACAUUAUACCAUAGUUCUUUGAAAGUAAUAUAGACUCUCUUACAUGUUGAUAUAGGAUAUAUGUACAUUAAUAUUCUAUUUUAAUGGUAUGUACAAAUUGUUUUCUUUUAAAAUAAUUUUUGUUAUAGAGCCAGAGCAGACUUCCACUGUGAUUAGGAAUUAUUCAUUCUUAAAAUUUUGUCAUUUUUUUCUCUUUAUUUUGAAGUUCUGUAACUAGAUGCAUACACAACUGGGUGCUUUUUUGUGUG
Molecule: RNA transcript, 4676 nt
Organism: Arvicola amphibius (Eurasian water vole)
Lineage: Eukaryota; Metazoa; Chordata; Mammalia; Rodentia; Cricetidae
Gene: Znf558
Gene name: zinc finger protein 558
Exons: 8
Source: RefSeq, a predicted model, not a curated record